Molecule: non-coding RNA, 219 nt
Organism: Sturnus vulgaris (Common starling)
Lineage: Eukaryota; Metazoa; Chordata; Aves; Passeriformes; Sturnidae
Source: RefSeq, a predicted model, not a curated record
CUUCUGAUGUUGAUGCAUUCUUGUUACACUUUCUCACACUCUUUCUGGUAAAUAGAAUUGUUUUGCAUUCCUCUUUGGAGGAAGCGAGCAUUGAUUGACAUUGUGAUGAAACAGUGGAGUCAGAGGGUCUCUUCAUCACUGUCCAAUCCAUGCUCAUUGUUAGAUUUCCAUAAAUAGACAUGUUAUGUAAAUAAAGAGGUCUUUUUCCUGCUCGACCAA